This 450-nucleotide ribosomal RNA is filed under the name uncultured Glomeromycotina. RNAcentral describes it as "SSU rRNA". It matches the Rfam family "Eukaryotic small subunit ribosomal RNA", at positions 569 to 1024 of the family's 1831-position model. Lineage: Eukaryota; Fungi; Glomeromycota. The record is from RNAcentral.
AGCAGCCGCGGUAAUUCCAGCUCCAAUAGCGUAUAUUAAAGUUGUUGCAGUUAAAAAGCUCGUAGUUGAAUUUCGGGAUCAAUUUAUUGGUCGUGCUAUUGUACGUACUGGUAUUAUUGAUUCCUACCUUCUGACGAACCAUGAUGUCAUUAAUUUGGUGUCUUGGGGAAUCAGGACUGUUACUUUGAAAAAAUUAGAGUGUUUAAAGCAGGCUCACGCUUGAAUACAUUAGCAUGGAAUAACGAAAUAGGACGUUUGAUUCUAUUUUGUUGGUUUCUAGGAUCGACGUAAUGAUUAAUAGGGAUAGUUGGGGGCAUUAGUAUUCAAUUGUCAGAGGUGAAAUUCUUGGAUUUAUUGAAGACUAACUACUGCGAAAGCAUUUGCCAAGGGUGUUUUCAUUAAUCAAGAACGAAAGUUAGGGGAUCGAAGACGAUCAGAUACCGUCGUAGU